AGAUAAUGGCUUAAGCUUUGUUUCUUCUUGUGCUUCCCUCUGCAGAAAUGCCCUGCCUUAGUCACCCAAAAGAUUCAGUUUGGGGUAGCAGAGAGGAGGGGGAGCAAGGACCUCACACAAGAACUGGCCUAAACUCUGAGGAGCUGUAAAGCCAAUGGGAACACGAUGCAGACAAAGUUGAACAUGACUUGACUGUGCUGGGGUUCCUGAAGAUAACAACCUGUGUCCAGUGUGGUGGGACUGAGGCCUUCAUCCAGUUUGGUCCCCUCUAAACCCCCCCAUUUCAGCGUGCAGGGAGCAUGCCCUGCAGUACAGGCUCUCUGUGGUAUUCCCUGAAAUCCCUUCAGCAGUGCAUUUGCUGGAAAAUGCCAAGGCUUGGAAUUUAUCAGCCUGAAAAAACUGCUCACCAGUCUUGUGGUUUGUGGAUGAGGAUCAGAACCCAUUGCUCUGUCCAUGGGAGGGAAGGCACUGAUCACUGGAAUUUGGAAAUGUAUUGA
This 497-nucleotide long non-coding RNA is filed under the name Manacus vitellinus (golden-collared manakin). RNAcentral describes it as "lncRNA (ENSMVIG00005015356.1)". Lineage: Eukaryota; Metazoa; Chordata; Aves; Passeriformes; Pipridae. The record is from RNAcentral.